UAGAAAAUUUUGUGUGUGGACUAGGUGUAGCCUACUUCAUUAAAAACAAUUUUUACAUAUUAUUAAUACCAUAUUGUAUUAUUAUUAUUACUUGUCCUAUAACAAAAAGAAAAAAAAAAUGUAGGGGUAUUUUAAGGCUUGGAGGGAUUUUCUAAGUAGUCUGCAGGGAUUUUUGCAUUGGGAAACCUGGCAACACUGACAAGCAUUUAAAAAUGAUCUAGAGUUUUGGCUUUUAUAUGCAGCAACAAUAUCCAGUACAAGAUAACAUGGAACAAAUCAAAAGUGCAACGAGGGUUCGCACGUGGAGACAGAAACUACGAGAAGAUCCAGAAAAAUUACAUGCACGUUUGUUAAGAGUAAAAGGAAGUUAAAAUUGAAAAGACUCAAAGAUGCAGAAAGGCAACGAAGGUGUAGACAAACGAGAAAAGAGAAACAAAAACAUGAUGAUAGUGCAAGAAAGUACAGAUGAUGGAGUUAAAUGUGCAGAAGGCAGAAUUUCAACACCUGUAAACACAGAAAAUUUGAAACCGGGAACAUAUGUUUUAGUGCAGUUUUCAACACAGGGGAAAAACAUUCCUAUUAAUCAUCAGUAUGUGGGUAUCUGUCAAAUUAAUGUUGAUGAACAAAGUGAGGUAAAAGUAAUUUUUUUUUAAAGAAAUGUGCUGGGGAAAACACUUUCAGAAUGAAUGAAGAAGACACCUCAUAUGUGUCUGUGCAGCAAAUUAUAGGCAUUCUUCCAGAUCCUUGCUUAAAAGCAGUGGGGAACAGAAUUUUUUACAUUUUCCCACCAGCAACGACCAUUAGUGUGCAAGCAUAGUUUAUAUAUAUCUGUCAAAAAUGUAUGUGAAAUGUGUGUUUGUACCUAUAUGUUUAUCCUACACAAAUGAUAGGCUAACUCAUAAUAUUAGAAAGUUUAAUGCUUGCAGUGUCAUUUAGAAUGUAGAAUUGCCAGAGCAGAUGUUUAUAAAUAUGUAUUUUAUACUUAAAAUUGUAAAAAAUUAAUGUCUUCAUUAUGAAGAAAAUCACCAGUUGUUAAACUCAGAUACAUACAUGACUAUCUUAUUAAAUUAAAGCAUAGUUGCCCUGUAUAUUUUUACAAUAAAGAUAUGUAUUUUUGUGAAUUUUUUGUGGACUAUGUCACACCCGUAACAAACAGCGUCACACCUGUAACUAAGUUAGAAAAUUUGUUUUUCAGUAACUGUGCUUCCUACCAUUAUAUUUUUUGGCUCUCUGUAAAGGAUUUCAAGUAAAGUACUUGCAAUCAGAA
Molecule: long non-coding RNA, 1267 nt
Organism: Bacillus rossius redtenbacheri
Lineage: Eukaryota; Metazoa; Arthropoda; Insecta; Phasmatodea; Bacillidae
Exons: 2
Source: RefSeq, a predicted model, not a curated record